AUUAUUUUUGGUUGACACAUAGCAAAAUCGGGAGAGCCCAGAGGCUUCGGGAGAAAAAAAGAGAAGAGAGAGAAAGAAAAAGGAGAGGAGAGUUCUGGAGAAGGAGAGUAAGCUCGAGAGAGAGAGAGAGAGAAAACGAGAGCUCGGUGCUCUCAGAACCGAAACACGACUCGACCGAGGAAACCCAGCCAGAGCGCCGACCUCCGGCCACCGAUCGACGACGCAAGACCCCCAGUCCCUCCGACUAGUCGACGCCGUCGCGCCUGUGGCCUUGGAUCGCCCGUGCACGGGACGAGGAGGGCGACUCGACGGUGAAAAGUGGUGACUGCUCUGGCGAGUUUCCGCCAUUUCCGGCCACCGUCUGAGCUUCUUGUGCUUUUCCGACUAUCCUGGCCUUGGCUUCCACUUCGACUACUCCUGUAGACGAGGAAUCGAGAAGUUUUCUGGAUUGUAGAGCGAGAUCCGUCAGUUCAUCUCCAUUCCAGUUUCAACAGAGAGCUCGGGAAGCUGAGUUUGAAUGACUGAAGUGGGAUUCCGAUUUUCCGAGGUAUAAUCUCGAUCUGAUGUUACAAAUGGUACUCGGGGAUAAUCAGAUAUUCCACCCUAGACUCCAUUACCUUCGAUCCUUGUAUGGAAAAAUAUACUUACAAGUUCGAUCCUCAUCCAAGACCCGAGAUUUUCCACCCUAGACUCCAUUACCUUCGUCGCCUUCGUCUUCACAACUCGAGGACCUGAAAGAGAUGGAAUUUUUAUGGAAGGUCAAAUCUAAAGCUUCUAUGGAAGGUCAGACUAGAGAGUAGGUGAGGUUCUUGCUGAGAUCUGGAAGGAAAUAUGAGCAAGCUUUCAAAGCUAGUUGCAUUUGUGGAAGUCGUUCAGUUUGAUUUAUUGGCAUAACACCAAAAGCCAGAUUCUCCUUCAGGUCUCUCUCUCAAAACUGACUAGCCUGGAAUUAAGGCCACAUGCUAUUGAGAGUUGUUAUCUGUCAAAAUAUCAGGUUUGUAGAUUUUAUGGUUUCAUGAACGAGUAAUUUUAAUUUCCAAAUGCAUGUAUACCAAUUGUAACAGGAGACUAGUAAUAUGUGUUAUUUCAAAUUGCAAGUUACAACAAAGGCACACCAAAACGUGUGGUUGCAGCUGCACAAAAACAACACAAAAACCAAUAAGAAGUCUAUUGUCUUUUUGACAAUGGGACAACAGAAAAUUGUAGUCUGAAAGGCAAAACAACAACAUAAGUUAGUUGAAAGUAUUGGCUAAAGUGUAUAUCAAGCAUGGAAUACCAAGCAAUGAAGCAAAAUAUAUUUUCUUUCAUCAUGUAAAUUCAGCUAGCUAGGAAACUUUAUAGCAAUGACAUGUUACUUGGAUUCAAUAUCUGGUGGAUAUAUUGGAAUUUUAUUGAUGUAUCA
This is a long non-coding RNA of Rosa rugosa (rugosa rose), 1402 nucleotides long. RefSeq lists it as uncharacterized. The transcript has 5 exons. Lineage: Eukaryota; Viridiplantae; Streptophyta; Magnoliopsida; Rosales; Rosaceae. The record is from RefSeq and is a predicted model, not a curated record.